This 468-nucleotide ribosomal RNA is filed under the name uncultured bacterium. RNAcentral's name for it is "partial 16S ribosomal RNA". It matches the Rfam family "Bacterial small subunit ribosomal RNA", at positions 28 to 507 of the family's 1533-position model. The record is from RNAcentral.
GACGAACGCUGGCGGCGUGCUUAACACAUGCAAGUCGAACGGAAAGGCCCUGCUUUUGUGGGGUGCUCGAGUGGCGAACGGGUGAGUAACACGUGAGUAACCUGCCCUUGACUUUGGGAUAACUUCAGGAAACUGGGGCUAAUACCGGAUAGGAGCUCCUGCUGCAUGGUGGGGGUUGGAAAGUUUCGGCGGUUGGGGAUGGAUUCGCGGCUUAUCAGCUUGUUGGUGGGGUAGUGGCUUACCAAGGCUUUGACGGGUAGCCGGCCCGAGAGGGUGACCGGCCACAUUGGGACUGAGAUACGGCCCAGACUCCUACGGGAGGCAGCAGUGGGGAAUAUUGCACAAUGGGCGGAAGCCUGAUGCAGCAACGCCGCGUGCGGGAUGACGGCCUUCGGGUUGUAAACCGCUUUCGCCUGUGACGAAGCGUGAGUGACGGUAAUGGGUAAAGAAGCACCGGCUAACUACGUG